Molecule: long non-coding RNA, 612 nt
Organism: Sitophilus oryzae (rice weevil)
Lineage: Eukaryota; Metazoa; Arthropoda; Insecta; Coleoptera; Curculionidae
Exons: 5
Source: RefSeq, a predicted model, not a curated record
UGCAAUUCUUUUUUCUAUUUGUCUUCCAGCGAUUUGUGGUGGUUUUAAUCUUCUGUUUUGUUAUGUUAAUUUUAAGGUGUUUUGUUGGUGUACAAGCAGAAUUUGUCGAAAUAUACCAAUAGUCAAAAACAAUACCUACUAUGAGUGGUGGAAUAUUCAUGUGGACCUGACUUCACGGACAAUUAAUUUCCCUAGUAAGGAUAUCUCAUUUAUGAAAACAGUCAAGGGCGGAAAUAUACCAUCAGAGAGAAGUAAUACCUACAUAUGAGUGGUCCAAUAUUCAUGAGGAGGAAUUUUGCCUGACUUUGUGGACAAUUGAUCUCCCCAAGGAUAACACAUUUUUGAAAACUGUAAAGGGUCAGAAUAUGCCAAGAGAUGAAAAUAUGCCUGGAGAUCAAAAUAUGAUGUACAAUUUAUGAGUAUUCUCUACAUUAGGAAGACAUUUGCAUGACAUCACAGGCCAUUUUAGUUUACCUGGAUAUCACAUUUAACGAAACCAUAUAAGGCUAAUGGUACAUGACAUAUUGAUUGAAGUAUAGGCGUCUUGAAAGUUAUGUAAAUAAGUAUCCUGACUUGGACAAAUAGUUUUUUGAACACAUAUUUCACUUAUAA